GGAUGCAGUAACUCUGACUGUAAUAAAGUAGCAUAAUUAGUUGUCGUUUAAUUGAUGGAGAGAAUGAAUGGUUACACGAAUAUUUCACUGUCUUAAAAAAAAUUUUUUAAAAUUGAAAUAAUAGUUAAGAUGCUAUUUAAAAUUGUAAGACGAAGAGACCCUAUAGAGCUUUACUAUAAACUUUUUUUUAAAUAAAUAAUAAAAAAAUUAUCUUAUUCAGAAAGUUUGGUAGUUUAGUUGGGGCGACUGUUUUUUAGAAAUAACAAAAAUAAGCAAUAUAAUAAAUUUAUUUAUUGUAUAAUUAAACAAUUUAACAAUUACUAUAGUAGGCUAUAAUGACCCGUUAUUAUGAUAAACAACAAAUAACGAUUAAUUAAUAAAAGCUACCUUAGGGAUAACAGGA
This 403-nucleotide ribosomal RNA is filed under the name Hydra oligactis. RNAcentral describes it as "partial 16S ribosomal RNA". It matches the Rfam family "Bacterial large subunit ribosomal RNA", at positions 1929 to 2482 of the family's 2925-position model. The record is from RNAcentral. Lineage: Eukaryota; Metazoa; Cnidaria; Hydrozoa; Anthoathecata; Hydridae.